CCCUUAGAUGUUCUGGGCCGCACGCGCGCUACACUGAUGCAUUCAACGAGCCUAUCCUUGACCGACAGGUCCGGGUAAUCUUUGAAUCUGCAUCGUGACGGGGAUAGAUUAUUGCAAUUAUUAAUCUUCAACGAGGAAUGCCUAGUAGGCGCAAGUCAUCAGCUUGCGUCGAUUACGUCCCUGCACUUUGUACACACCGCCCGUCGCUCCUACCGAUUGGGUGUGCUGGUGAAAUGUUCGGAUCGGCCGUUUGUCGCGGUUUCCGCGUCAUGUGGCUGAGAAGUUCAUUAAACCCUCCCACCUAGAGGAAGGAGAAGUCGUAACA
This 325-nucleotide ribosomal RNA is filed under the name uncultured eukaryote. RNAcentral describes it as "partial 18S ribosomal RNA". It matches the Rfam family "Eukaryotic small subunit ribosomal RNA", at positions 1470 to 1796 of the family's 1831-position model. The record is from RNAcentral.